RNAcentral lists this ribosomal RNA (177 nucleotides) under uncultured cyanobacterium. Its description in RNAcentral is "partial 16S ribosomal RNA". It matches the Rfam family "Bacterial small subunit ribosomal RNA", at positions 168 to 361 of the family's 1533-position model. The record is from RNAcentral. Lineage: Bacteria; Bacillati; Cyanobacteriota.
ACCGGAUAUGCCUACGGGUAAAAGGCUUGCUGCCUGAAGAAGAGCUUGCGUCCGAUUAGCUAGUUGGUGGGGUAAAUGGCUUACCAAGGCGGCGAUCGGUAGCUGGUCUGAGAGGAUGACCAGCCACACUGGGACUGAGACAAGGCCCAGACUCCUACGGGAGGCCGCAGUGGGGAA